Molecule: small nucleolar RNA, 122 nt
Organism: Oryctolagus cuniculus (rabbit)
Lineage: Eukaryota; Metazoa; Chordata; Mammalia; Lagomorpha; Leporidae
Source: Ensembl
UGCACUUGUAUCGGUUCUUGUUUAACCUGCGCAGACUGACACAGGUGCAACGGGUAAACCCUCUUCUGCAACCCAGAACUCAUCGACCACUAUGAGUUUUGAUACAAACAAGCAGGAAUAGG